CCUACGGGUGGCAGCAGUGGGGAAUAUUGGACAAUGGGCGAAAGCCUGAUCCAGCCAUGCCGCGUGUGUGAAGAAGGCCUUCGGGUUGUAAAGCACUUUCAGUGGGGAAGAAAGCCUUGGGGCUAAUACCCUCGAGGAAGGACAUCACCCACAGAAGAAGCACCGGCUAACUCCGUGCCAGCAGCCGCGGUAAUACGGAGGGUGCGAGCGUUAAUCGGAAUUACUGGGCGUAAAGCGCGCGUAGGCGGUCUGAUAAGCCGGUUGUGAAAGCCCCGGGCUCAACCUGGGAACGGCAUCCGGAACUGUCAGGCUAGAGUGCAGGAGAGGAAGGUAGAAUUCCCGGUGUAGCGGUGAAAUGCGUAGAGAUCGGGAGGAAUACCAGUGGCGAAGGCGGCCUUCUGGACUGACACUGACGCUGAGGUGCGAAAGCGUGGGUAGCAAACAGGAUUAGAUAACCCUGUAGUC
Molecule: ribosomal RNA, 465 nt
Filed under: Vreelandella stevensii
Lineage: Bacteria; Pseudomonadati; Pseudomonadota; Gammaproteobacteria; Oceanospirillales; Halomonadaceae
Description: partial 16S ribosomal RNA
Rfam family: Bacterial small subunit ribosomal RNA
Source: RNAcentral